UACGUAGGGUGCGAGCGUUGUCCGGAAUUACUGGGCGUAAAGAGCUCGUAGGUGGUUUGUCGCGUUGUUCGUGAAAACUCACAACUCAAUUGUGGGCGUGCGGGCGAUACGGGCAGACUGGAGUGCGGUAGGGGAGAAUGGAAUUCCUGGUGUAGCGGUGGAAUGCGCAGAUAUCAGGAGGAACACCGAUGGCGAAGGCAGUUCUCUGGGCCGUAACUGACGCUGAGGAGCGAAAGCGUGGGGAGCGAACAGG
This 253-nucleotide ribosomal RNA is filed under the name uncultured bacterium. RNAcentral describes it as "partial 16S ribosomal RNA". It matches the Rfam family "Bacterial small subunit ribosomal RNA", at positions 524 to 776 of the family's 1533-position model. The record is from RNAcentral.